Molecule: long non-coding RNA, 1957 nt
Organism: Bubalus bubalis (water buffalo)
Lineage: Eukaryota; Metazoa; Chordata; Mammalia; Artiodactyla; Bovidae
Exons: 5
Source: RefSeq, a predicted model, not a curated record
GCAAAUAUGUGAAACCUCUCUAUUUCACAGCAGAGGGAUGGAAACCCAGAGAGCUUGGUAGAUCAGCCUCUCCAGGCUGAGCUAGUUUUCCCUUCUCCAGGUGCCCCUCAUGGAACCUCUAUCUUAGCAUUUAUCACACUGGGAUAUAACUAUUUGUUUAUAUACCAUUUUCUAUUCAGUUUUCUGUGUGCUCCCUGAGGGCAGAAACUGUGUCUUUCAUCUUUAUACUUCUCAAGGAUAAAGCCUUCAAUAAAAGUUCCAUGAAUGAAUGACUUGCCCAAGGUCAUCUAGCUAAUAUGUGGCUGAGCUGGGACCAGAACCAAGGAACUCUAGGCAGUUACUCUGAGCUGAGACAGGGUCACAUCUACAUCCUUGCUCCUGAAAUAGCUGAACUCAUCACCUCUUCAGAGGAGGAAGCUUUGCAAAUGAGAGUAAACGCUGCGGAUCUCCACAAAAGGCUUUGGAACUCUCUCCCAUGCCCUCCUGCCAGAUCUUUAAUCCAUCUAGAAUUUAUUUUUGUGGGUGAAAUGAAGAAAACAUCUAAUUAGAGAGUUUUAUCAUCUCUGCUGCUACUCUAGAUUCGGCACCUGUGGGAGAAGGACACUUGAAAUAUAGAGCUACGAGCAAGGACACAAAGGAAGAUGAUACGUCCCAUAGUUCCUUUCACUUAUGGUUGGAUUUUAGCCAACUGCAUGUUGGUAGAAGUAAUAUAAGCCACCUACAGACUUGAGUCUUAGAUCUCUUUCACCUGGAAGCCAUAUGAUAAGAUAGCAACAUUCCAAGAAGGUGCAUCUCCGUCAGCCUAGGUCCCUGGGAGAUUAUAUGGAAUAGAGCUUACCCCACCCUACCGUUACCUUUGUUGGAUAUGUGGCAUGAACAAGAAAUAAAUAUUUACUGUAUCAAGACACUGAGAUUGAGGUUCCUUGUUACAAGAGCAUAACCUCACCUAUUCUGAUGGAUUUAUAAAGCUCUGUGGACCAAUAGCUGGUGCUUCCUCCCAGCAUGAUGGGCUUUCGUAUUACAGAAGGAUCUGAGGUUUUAAGUGCCUAAGUGCUAGGUUAUCUGCUCAAGUUCUAGGAUAUGACUGCUUCUUCAUUCAAGUCCUUUAACUUUCUUUCUUCCUUUCUUUCUUUAUGCUGUGCCACAUGGCUUGCAGGAUCUUAGUUCCCCAACCAAGGAUAGAAGCCAUGUCCCAUGCAGUGGGAGUGCCAAGUCCUAACAACUGGACUGCCGGGGAAGCCCCAAGUCCUUUACCUUCUUUAGAGCCAUGGGUUCUUUUUACAUUACUGAAAGCAAUCCAUAUUUUUAAAGGAAUGAUGAAACAUUUUCCCUUUCUUCUCAACCUAGAUCUCAGCAAAAAAUGUUUUUCCCACUGUCGUAUUUAUUCAUUUUGCUAUAUCCUGACUCAUCAAGCUUCAUUCUCUCCUGACAGACAUCCAGUUCAAUGCCUAGCCUCUAUGAAAUCUAAAGUCUGCUUAAAACAUUAAUGUUUCCCUUUUCUAGAAUUUUUCGCACUUACAAUUAACAUUGGCACUUAAUAAUAGGAGGCCUCAUUUUGGGGACUUUAGUUUUUUGCUCCAGUGAGAUUAAGGGCAGAUACCUUCUUUUAGAUCUCCAAAGGGCCUAAUGCAGCAUUAGGCCUCGAGUAGGCAGCCCAUACGGUAAGCACUUACUGAAUUAAAUUUCUAGCCAAUGUAUCUAAGCUCAGGCUUACUACAUUCCUAACCCUUUCUUCCUGGAACAGGUCUGUGGGUAAAGAAUGAUGGCUGGAAAUACUGCCACACUCUGACCUUUUCUUCAUACUCACUGGGAGGGUGGAUAUGUAUGUUGUAGGCAAGCGAGCUGGGAAGGGGUGAGACACAGCAUUUAUUUCUACUUCCUUAAAUAUUGGUUAGUAAAUAUAGUUAAGUUCUUAUCAUGAGCUUGAUAUACGUCCUGCUUCUACAGGUAAGCCAUA